UCCUCAAUAGCUCAGUUGGUUAGAGCGCCGGACUGUUAAUCCGUAGGUCCCUGGUUCGAGCCCAGGUUGAGGAGCCA
This 77-nucleotide transfer RNA is filed under the name Aalborgiella aggregata (SeqCode). RNAcentral's name for it is "Candidatus Aalborgiella aggregata tRNA-Asn". It matches the Rfam family "tRNA". From Rfam's summary of the family: Transfer RNA (tRNA) molecules are approximately 80 nucleotides in length. The record is from RNAcentral. Lineage: Bacteria; Pseudomonadati; Pseudomonadota; Betaproteobacteria; Burkholderiales; Comamonadaceae.